GACAGAGGUGCCAAGCGUUAGGCGGAAUCACUGGGCUUAAAGCGUGUGUAGGCGGAUUUGUAAGUACCUUGUGAAAUCCCACGGCUCAACCGUGGAACUGCUCGGUAUACUGCUUAUCUUGAGCCACUUAGGGGCUACCGGAACAAAUGGUGGAGCGGUGAAAUGCGUAGAUAUCAUUUGGAACGCCAAUGGUGAAAACAGGUAGCUGGGAGUGUGCUGGCGCUGAGACACGAAAGCCAGGGGAGCGAACGGG
RNAcentral lists this ribosomal RNA (253 nucleotides) under uncultured bacterium. RNAcentral describes it as "partial 16S ribosomal RNA". It matches the Rfam family "Bacterial small subunit ribosomal RNA", at positions 524 to 776 of the family's 1533-position model. The record is from RNAcentral.